UUUCACUAGGGGAGCCGCUUGCGGCUGAGAGGAUUUUCCGACCCUUGGAACCUGUUGGGGUAAUACCUGCGUAGGGAAGUGACAAAGC
Molecule: non-coding RNA, 88 nt
Filed under: uncultured Mitsuokella sp.
Lineage: Bacteria; Bacillati; Bacillota; Negativicutes; Selenomonadales; Selenomonadaceae
Description: TPP riboswitch (THI element)
Rfam family: TPP riboswitch aptamer (THI element)
About the family: Vitamin B(1) in its active form thiamin pyrophosphate (TPP) is an essential coenzyme that is synthesised by coupling of pyrimidine and thiazole moieties in bacteria. The previously detected thiamin-regulatory element, thi box was extended, resulting in a new, highly conserved RNA secondary structure, the THI element, which is widely distributed in eubacteria and also occurs in some archaea.
Source: RNAcentral